AUGCCCGAGAGCGCGAGCGUCGCCGCCGGCGACUGGCCGGCCGGAGCAGAGGCGAAUGCCGCCAACGCGGGGGACCGCCAGGAGUCGAGCGCAGCACCGCGGUCGGUGCGGCCGGCGACGCCCCAGCCGCCAGCACGGCGCCGCCGGGGAGGGGCCCGAGACCCCAAGGCGUCCUCUUUCGAUCCAGGAGACGGCAGCGCGCCCGACGGCCGCCGGUGGCGCCGAUCGGUCCCGCGGGAGGCCGAACUCCCACCCCUGGGAGUCGGGCCGCCGGCAGGGACGGAUGGAGGCGGCCGGACCGGAGCGCGGGGCGGGAUGCGGUCGCGGCAGGCGAUGGGGCGGCCCACAGCCACAUCGACAGCUUCAGCGAGGUCCGCCCAGGACUCGCGCGGAGGAACAGCCGGAGGAGACGGCGGGGAAUCGGGCGAGGGGGGCGCCGGCGGGCCGACCGCGGGCGAGGCCAGGAGUCGAGCGCAGCACCGCGGUCGGUGCGGCCGGCGACGCCCCAGCCGCCAACACGGCGCCGCCCGGGAGGGGCCCGAGACCCCAAGGCGUCCCCUUUCGAUCCAGGAGAUGGCAGCGCGCCCGACGGCCGCCGGUGGCGCCGAUCGGUCCCGCGGGAGGCCGAACUCCCACCCCUGGGAGUCGGGCCGCCGGCAGGGACGGAUGGAGGCGGCCGGACCGGAGCGCGGGGCGGGAUGCGGUCGCGGCAGGCGAUGGGGCGGCCCACAGCCACAUCGGCAGCUUCGGCGAGGUCCGCCCAGGACUCGCGCGGAAGAACAGCCGGAGGAGACGGCGGGCAAUCGGGCGAGGGGGGCACCGGCGGGCCGACCGCGGGCGAGGCCAGGGGCGAGGGCGGCGGCGGCGGCAUCGCCGAGCCGACCAGGGCGUCGCCAGAGCCAGCGUACGCGAGAGCCAUCACCUCAGCUCCUCGUGCUGAAUUUAUCAUGUCUUCCUCGGUGA
This 963-nucleotide ribosomal RNA is filed under the name Triticum aestivum (bread wheat). Its description in RNAcentral is "partial small subunit ribosomal RNA". The record is from RNAcentral. Lineage: Eukaryota; Viridiplantae; Streptophyta; Magnoliopsida; Poales; Poaceae.